RNAcentral lists this ribosomal RNA (492 nucleotides) under uncultured bacterium. RNAcentral describes it as "partial 16S ribosomal RNA". It matches the Rfam family "Bacterial small subunit ribosomal RNA", at positions 29 to 507 of the family's 1533-position model. The record is from RNAcentral.
AGUGAACGCUGGCGGUAGGCCUAACACAUGCAAGUCGAACGGCAGCACAGUAAGAGCUUGCUCUUACGGGUGGCGAGUGGCGGACGGGUGAGGAAUACAUCGGAAUCUACUUUUUCGUGGGGGAUAACGUAGGGACACUUACGCUAAUACCGCAUACUACCUACGGCUGAAAUCAGGGGAUCUUCGGACCUUUCGCGAUUGAAUGAGCCGAUGCCGGAUUAGCUAGUUGGCGUGGUAAAGGCCCACCAAGGCGACGAUCCGUAGCUGGUCUGAGAGGAUGAUCAGCCACACUGGAACUGAGACACGGUCCAGACUCCUACGGGAGGCAGCAGUGGGGAAUAUUGGACAAUGGGCGAAAGCCUGAUCCAGCCAUACCGCGUGGGUGAAGAAGGCCUUCGGGUUGUAAAGCCCUUUUGUUGGGAAAGAAAAGCAGCAGGUUAAUACCCCGCUGUUCUGACGGUACCCAAAGAAUAAGCACCGGCUAACUUCGUG